CCCUUAGAUGUCAUGGGCCGCACGCGCGUUACACUGAUGCAUUCAACGAGCUUAUAACCUUGGCCGAGAGGCCUGGGCAAUCUUGUUAACGUGCAUCGUGAUAGGGAUAGAUUAUUGAAAUUAUUAAUCUUGAACGAGGAAUUCCUAGUAAACGCAGAUCAUCAAUCUGCAUUGAUUACGUCCCUGCCCUUUGUACACACCGCCCGUCGCACCUACCGAUUGGAUGGUCCGGUGAAGCCUCGGGAUUGUGGUUCUUGCCGCUUUAUUGUGGCGUGACCGCGAGAACUUGUCUAAACCUUAUCAUCUAGAGGAAGGUGAAGUCGUAACA
This 328-nucleotide ribosomal RNA is filed under the name uncultured eukaryote. RNAcentral's name for it is "partial 18S ribosomal RNA". It matches the Rfam family "Eukaryotic small subunit ribosomal RNA", at positions 1470 to 1796 of the family's 1831-position model. The record is from RNAcentral.